UACGUAGGGGUGCAAGCGUUUGUCCGGAAUUAUUGGGCGUAAAGAGCUUGUAGGCGGUUUGUCGCGUCUGCUGUGAAAUUUCGGGGCUCAACCCCGAACUUGCAGUGGGUACGGGCAGACUAGAGUGUGGUAGGGGAGACUGGAAUUCCUGGUGUAGCGGUGAAAUGCGCAGAUAUCAGGAGGAACACCGAUGGCGAAGGCAGGUCUCUGGGCCACUACUGACGCUGAGAAGCGAAAGCAUGGGGAGCGAACAGG
This 255-nucleotide ribosomal RNA is filed under the name uncultured bacterium. Its description in RNAcentral is "partial 16S ribosomal RNA". It matches the Rfam family "Bacterial small subunit ribosomal RNA", at positions 524 to 776 of the family's 1533-position model. The record is from RNAcentral.